AUUGAACGCUGGCGGCAGGCCUAACACAUGCAAGUCCAGCGGAUGAAGGGAGCUUGCUCCUGGAUUCAGCGGCGGACGGGUGAGUAAUGCCUAGGAAUCUGCCUGGUAGUGGGGGAUAACGUCCGGAAACGGGCGCUAAUACCGCAUACGUCCUGAGGGAGAAAGUGGGGGAUCUUCGGACCUCACGCUAUCAGAUGAGCCUAGGUCGGAUUAGCUAGUUGGUGGGGUAAAGGCCUACCAAGGCGACGAUCCGUAACUGGUCUGAGAGGAUGAUCAGUCACACUGGAACUGAGCCACGGUCCAGACUCCUACGGGAGGCAGCAGUGGGGAAUAUUGGACAAUGGGCGAAAGCCUGAUCCAGCCAUGCCGCGUGUGUGAAGAAGGUCUUCGGAUUGUAAAGCACUUUAAGUUGGGAGGAAGGGCAGUAAGUUAAUACCUUGCUGUUUUGACGUUACCAACAGAAUAAGCACCGGCUAACUUCGUG
Molecule: ribosomal RNA, 484 nt
Filed under: uncultured bacterium
Lineage: Bacteria
Description: partial 16S ribosomal RNA
Rfam family: Bacterial small subunit ribosomal RNA
Source: RNAcentral